This 556-nucleotide ribosomal RNA is filed under the name Thermovibrio sp. MN-4n. Its description in RNAcentral is "bacterial SSU rRNA". It matches the Rfam family "Bacterial small subunit ribosomal RNA", at positions 56 to 578 of the family's 1533-position model. Lineage: Bacteria; Pseudomonadati; Aquificota; Aquificia; Desulfurobacteriales; Desulfurobacteriaceae. The record is from RNAcentral.
UGCAGUCGUGGGGCAGCAGGCCGGUUCCUUCGGGAACUGGUGCUGGCGACCGGCGAACGGGUGAGUAACGCGUGAGCAACCUACCCCGAGGAGGGGGAUAACCCGGGGAAACCCGGGCUAAUACCCCAUAAGCGCACGGUCCGCAUGGGCUGUGUGAAAAGGGUGGCCUCUGCUUAGCAAGCUGCCGCCUCGGGAUGGGCUCGCGUCCCAUCAGGUAGUUGGUGGGGUAACGGCCUACCAAGCCUACGACGGGUAGCCGGCCUGAGAGGGUGGUCGGCCACACCGGGACUGAGACACGGCCCGGACUCCUACGGGAGGCAGCAGUGGGGAAUCUUGGGCAAUGGGCGCAAGCCUGACCCAGCGACGCCGAGUGGAGGAAGAAGCCCUUCGGGGUGUAAACUCCUGUCGCCGGGGACGAUGCGGGGAUGGGUUAAGAGCCUAUCCUCGUGACGGUACCCGGAGAGGAAGGGACGGCUAACUACGUGCCAGCAGCCGCGGUAAUACGUAGGUCCCGAGCGUUGCGCGAAAUUACUGGGCGUAAAGAGCGCGUAGGCGG